UUGAACAUGUGGCAGUCGUCUUAUGUUUUCUCAUUUCAUUAUUAAUCGCCGAUUAUGAAAAUAACUUUUGCAGAUAAAAUAUUAUUGAAGAAUCGGUAAGCGGCGAAACGUACGGAAUAAUGCGAAUUGAGUUAUUAAUUUAUGAUUUGUCGCCAAAGCAGUAAUGUCAUCAGACAAGCCGGGAAAACAUAAACAGACAGCACCAGAAAAGAGACGUACAAGUGGUCAGUUGGAAUCAAUUGCCAGACAUUAGUUUUACACGGCAUUGAGAGGCGA
This is a long non-coding RNA of Bactrocera dorsalis (oriental fruit fly), 276 nucleotides long. RefSeq lists it as uncharacterized. NCBI's taxonomy places the organism in Eukaryota, Metazoa, Arthropoda, Insecta, Diptera, Tephritidae. The transcript has 2 exons. The record is from RefSeq and is a predicted model, not a curated record.